Molecule: ribosomal RNA, 460 nt
Filed under: uncultured bacterium
Lineage: Bacteria
Description: partial 16S ribosomal RNA
Rfam family: Bacterial small subunit ribosomal RNA
Source: RNAcentral
CCUACGGGGGGCUGCAGUGAGGAAUAUUGGUCAAUGGGCGCGAGCCUGAACCAGCCAAGUCGCGUGAGGGAAGACGGCCCUACGGGUUGUAAACCUCUUUUGCCGGGGAGCAACGGGCGCCACGUGUGGCGCCACUGAGAGUACCCGGAGAAAAAGCAUCGGCUAACUCCGUGCCAGCAGCCGCGGUAAUACGGGGGAUGCGAGCGUUAUCCGGAUUUUUUGGGUUAAAGGGGUGCGUAGGCGGAGCGUUAAGUCAGUGGUAAAAUGGAGGGGCUCAACCCCUGCCCGCAAUUGAAACUGGGGGUCUUGAGUGGAAGAGAAGUAUGCGGAAUGCGUGGUGUAGCAGUGAAAUGCAUAGAUAUCACGCAGAACCCCGAUUGCGAAGGCAGGAUGCCGGCUUCCGACUGACGCUGAAGCACGAAAGCGUGGGGAUCGAACAGGAUUAGAUACCCGGGUAGUC